GAAAGUGAGUUUUUCAAGUUUUGAACACUCUUACGAUUUUUCAUAUACUACUAAAAGUCCAAAACCUAACGUUACUAAAACACGUUUGGACGUUACUCCUUCCACCUCCCCAUUUUCAUCCUCCACCCCCACCUCUUCAUUCUUUUUUUACUUUUCUUUAAUUACAACAAUAACCUUUUAUUAUUUUUUUCUUUUACUUUUUUAAUCCUCUAAAACCCUAACUUUUUACUUUCUACUUACUUUCACAGACUUCCAUAGAACACCACCUCCCCUUCUCGAUUUCUCAUCCUACGCUCCAAGUUCCAACUCUUCUUCUGUCCUCUUUUCUUUUGUGUGUUCGGUGGGUGCGGUGGGUGACAGGUGGUGGUGCGACGGGUGGUGGUGAGGCGGCUCUGUGCGGUGCGGUGGUUGUUGAUUCGGUUUGUUUCUGCUUGCAGGUGUGUGUGGCGUUGCGACGAGUGUAUGCGGCGGUGCGACGCGGUGUGUGCAGCGGUGUGGCACGGUGAUUGUUGCUUUGUUUCGUUUCUACGACAGGUUGGUUUCUUAAUUUCUUUCGUUUCUUGCCCAUGAUAUAAGUUUGUAUUCAUUUCUACUUUUUUUCUAAUGUAUGAAUACAGUGUUAAGAUUGUAUUGAUUUAUGCUGCUCUGUGUGCUCUGUGUUGCUCUAUUUUUUAUUUUGACUGUUGAGAUUUUUGUGUCGAAAGAGGAAUAAGACGUUCACGCCUAAACGGAUGUCACAUCCGUUUAACCCUGAAACGGAUGUCGAUAUCCGUCGACGGAUGUCGGUAUCCGAUUAAAGAAGUUUCACAGAAUAGAAAAAAUAGAACAAAGGAUAAAAAUAGAAGAAGGAGGUGUAGAGAGCAAGUGAGGAGGUGCAGGGAGCAAUGCCCAACACGUUUUCGUAAGUUUCAUGUUUAGGCCGAAUCUCUACACUUAACCUGAGGAUACGGCCCAGUGUCUGAAUUUAUUUAAUUAUUUUCUUAAUUUGAAAAUAUAACUUUAGUUCGUAACGACUAAAGUAUGUAUUUAAUAAUGACAGGGUGUGAACAGAAAAAGCCCAAAAUAAAAUUCAUAAAGAAAAACAAGCCCAAUCGUAAAAAGUUUUAUAUCAAUAAAAAUAUAAAAUAUUGUAUAUGAUAAUAAAGAUAAUUGAGUCAGUACUUUCUUUAUUAAUAUGGUUGUAUUUAUUGAUUUAUUGAAUUAUUAGAUAAAUGACGUAUAGUUACCUAAACCAAAUUUUAUUUUCCAGAUAAUCAAUUAUCAUAUUAUAUGAAUUUCUCCGAGCUAUUUGGUAAUAAGGAUAUCUUUAAUAAUAUAAUUAAUUAGUUCUGAACAUUUUAGGAAUCUAUUAAGAGUAUAUCAGGAUACGAGUAUUUCAAGUGCUUGAGGUUUUCGGCCGAUUAGACACAAGAUAAAUUAAAUUCUUAAAAUGUGUGUGUGUGUAUAUAUAUAUAUAAACAGUAAAUUAAAAGAAAAUUAACUAUAACAUUGUAAAAAGUACUGUGGUAUUACAGUUCUGUAAAAUAAUUGUUAAGUUAUAAUUAACUUCUAAUAAUGAUGAAUCCUUAACUUAUGUGAUAUGUUUUAUAUUUGAGUAGGUGGUGUAGUUAGUAAGGAGGGUUUAAAUCUUGAGUUGCUAAGUUUUGUUUUUUGGAAACAGGACCAAAAUAAGAGGUGUACUUAGGAAAAAGAAGCGCGUCCAUAUGUAUUUUGGAAGACCCUAUACACGUUUUCCUACAUUCCUUCCCUCUCCUCUUUCAAGGACCCAAGUGCAAUUUCUAUCUUUGGAGCCUUCAACCUUGUGAAGAAAGAGUAUAUUUUCUAUUUUGGAGAAUGACUUUGGCAUAAUUUUUUUUCUUGAAUAAUCUAUGCAUAUGUUAGAGUACUCAUUUUUUAUGAUUUGAUUUUUAGGUUUUGGACUUUUUAAAAUAUAUGUACCUUUUUUUAAAAUCGAAGACAAAAUCAAUGUUUAGGAG
This 1976-nucleotide long non-coding RNA is filed under the name Vigna radiata. RNAcentral's name for it is "long non-coding RNA (VRAD_LNC018331)". The record is from RNAcentral. Lineage: Eukaryota; Viridiplantae; Streptophyta; Magnoliopsida; Fabales; Fabaceae.